AAUGAUGCUGGCAAUUUUAAUUAUUUGACUCCUUUAGCACUAUUAUCUUAUGUCUGUGAUAAUCCACAUUCCAUUUCAUUCAUUUUUAGUAUUUUAUCCAGUCCAUGACAAAGCUCAGUCAUGUCAUUAUGCUAUCAGACAUUUCUCUCAGUGUUGAGAUAAACAAGGUCUGCUUUUAGUCUCUAAUACAUGACUUUGUAUGUAAGCCAUUGUAUCUAAUUUGACAGAUGAUGAUGGAAAUGUGUUGCGGCAGAAGAAUCUCAGUGAUUUGGCAUUCAUGGAAGGCAAACGAAUGAUGCUAGCUAAGGAACACACUUUCUUGGAUAACAGAGAUUUACCAUUCUGAAGAACAGGCAAAACAGGUGUAUAUUCUUCAUCAACCUAACUGAAAUGUGAUACAUUUUAAACCCUGUACACAUUUUCAAAUUGAAAUGGAAAUAGCUAUAAGAACUGCUUCUAUGUAGCAUAUCACUUAAUUUAUUUGCCUGAAAUACCAAAUAUGAGUAGUUAUGGACAUUUUCGUACAAGAGGUCUAGACAGGUUUGAUGCUGAAUUUUUUCUGUACAUGCUGAUAACAGUCACAACUAAUAUUAUAACUUAUGCUACUCUGUACAGUAUGUGUUCACAAAUUACAGUAAUGUGUAUUCAAUAUACAUCACUCUCUUCUCCUGAGCACUUGAUAAUUACUGCUUCUUACAAUGCAGAAUACUGUCAGUGUUAUAGGCUGCUGGAACUCAAUGACUGGAGCUUAAUAUUAGGAGGUCAUUGGCAGAAUAUUUGUUCGCUUGAUUUAUUAGUGUAACUGUUGUUAAUUUGAAACCUUUUAGUUAUCUCAGUUUAACUUAAGAAGUAUUUCUGAAAUGUGAUGAUUUUCAUCCCUUAAAUUCAAUAAAGUUUUAUUUAUUACCA
Molecule: long non-coding RNA, 909 nt
Organism: Stylophora pistillata
Lineage: Eukaryota; Metazoa; Cnidaria; Anthozoa; Scleractinia; Pocilloporidae
Source: RefSeq, a predicted model, not a curated record